RNAcentral lists this transfer RNA (73 nucleotides) under Limnonectes blythii (giant mountain frog). RNAcentral's name for it is "tRNA-Asn". It matches the Rfam family "tRNA". From Rfam's summary of the family: Transfer RNA (tRNA) molecules are approximately 80 nucleotides in length. Their secondary structure includes four short double-helical elements and three loops (D, anti-codon, and T loops). Further hydrogen bonds mediate the characteristic L-shaped molecular structure. tRNAs have two regions of fundamental functional importance: the anti-codon, which is responsible for specific mRNA codon recognition, and the 3' end, to which the tRNAs corresponding amino acid is attached (by aminoacyl-tRNA synthetases). tRNAs cope with the degeneracy of the genetic code in two manners: having more than one tRNA (with a specific anti-codon) for a particular amino acid; and 'wobble' base-pairing, i.e. permitting non-standard base-pairing at the 3rd anti-codon position. The record is from RNAcentral. Lineage: Eukaryota; Metazoa; Chordata; Amphibia; Anura; Dicroglossidae.
UAGAAGGAAGCUUGUUGGUUAGAGCACUUAGCUGUUAACUAAGGAUUUAUAGGAUCAAAACCUGUCUUUCUAG